RNAcentral lists this long non-coding RNA (979 nucleotides) under Marmota monax (woodchuck). The record is from RNAcentral. Lineage: Eukaryota; Metazoa; Chordata; Mammalia; Rodentia; Sciuridae.
GGCUGUUAGAGAAGGCCCCGAGCACUGUGCUUAAAGCAAGGUUGAUCCUGUGGAGGUCUCAUUCCUCAGCACUCAGAGCAUCCUUCAAUUAUGCCUAUGUUUGGUGGGAUGAGAGUGGGGCCUCAGAUUUGGUGAAUGUUACCCUUUCUCUAAAAGACCCCAGACAGUUCUCUACUCACUCACUCUCAGAGCUCUUCCCUUCUACUUAGAUUUUGGGAGCAGGCAGAGAAACUGCUUUUACUCCAUGAGGCCCUGGGCCCAAUGGCGAUCUGGCUGCCCCCUCAUUCUUCCACACCACCUCUACCCCUGACUGGGAGCUUCAGGCUGAGCCUGAGAACUCUGAUCAGAGCCAUAGCUUUUCUGAUGCCCUGGCUUUUUGCUAUCUCAGGGAAUGGACACAGUCACUCUGCACACUGGGACAGUCAACUUGUGUCCAACUGAGGGACUAAUUCAGGAAGGACAUCAGGAUACCUCUGUGUACCUGGCCUCAGGCCCUGGAAAAGAUUUGGGUUCAAGGCAUGUAGCACGACAAAAUUCACAGCCAGUAUCACAGGAGAAGUGUUUCUGAAUAAAGGUCAAAGAAGUUUCUAGACAGAAGGGGACCUUGACUCAGGACCAGCUAGGAUCUUGACUUAUGCGACAGAAGAAAAUUUCAGCACACGCCAGUCAGCAGCACAGAGAUUUAUUACUAAGUAAAUCUGUUAUUUGUUAUCCAGAAAAAUGGCCUAAUUGGUUCUUGCUGGGCAUUGAUUUGUGUGGGUUUAUCUUAUAACAACUCACCUUCUUGGUUUCCAUUUUAAGGUUUAUUAUUCGUCACUUCUCCUGGAUUUCCUAUAUGAUACUUAAUAACUUUAUCUUUUCCUUUCUAGUACUUAUACCUUUUAUUUAUUUCCUCGUUUAUAGCUUGGCUAAGACUGUCAAUGUAACAUUGAAAACCACACCUGCUUUGGCUUCCUUUCCUUCCCCAUCUCACUUCCCC